AUACGUAGGGGGCGAGCGUUGUCCGGAAUGAUUGGGCGUAAAGGGCGCGUAGGCGGCGCGGUAAGUCUGGAGUGAAAGUCCUGCUUUCAAGGUGGGAAUUGCUUUGGAUACUGCCGCGCUUGAGUGCAGGAGAGGUUAUCGGAAUUCCCGGUGUAGCGGUGAAAUGCGUAGAGAUCGGGAGGAACACCAGUGGCGAAGGCGGGUAACUGGACUGCAACUGACGCUGAGGCGCGAAAGUGUGGGGAGCAAACAGGAUUAGAUACCCUGGUAGUCCACACGGUAAACGAUGAAUGCUAGGUGUAAGAGGUAUCGACCCCUUUUGUGCCGGAGUCAACACAAUAAGCAUUCCGCCUGGGGAGUACGGCCGCAAGGUUGAAACUUAAAGGAAUUGACGGGG
Molecule: ribosomal RNA, 397 nt
Filed under: uncultured bacterium
Lineage: Bacteria
Description: partial 16S ribosomal RNA
Rfam family: Bacterial small subunit ribosomal RNA
Source: RNAcentral